This 429-nucleotide ribosomal RNA is filed under the name uncultured bacterium. RNAcentral's name for it is "bacterial SSU rRNA". It matches the Rfam family "Bacterial small subunit ribosomal RNA", at positions 355 to 775 of the family's 1533-position model. The record is from RNAcentral.
UGGGGAAUAUUGCGCAAUGGGGGAAACCCUGACGCAGCGACGCCGCGUGAGCGAAGAAGGCCUUAGGGUUGUAAAGCUCUGCUUUAAGGGACGAAUGUCGUGGGGAGUAAUAUGCUCUGCGAAUGACGGUACCUUAAGAGGAAGCCCCGGCUAACUACGUGCCAGCAGCCGCGGUAAGACGUAGGGGGCGAGCGUUGUCCGGAAUUACUGGGCGUAAAGAGCACGUAGGCGGGAACUUAAGUCAGGUGUGAAAGACCGGGGCUCAACGCCGGGGUUGCACUUGAAACUGGGUUUCUUGGGGGCAGGAGAGGAAAGCAGAAUUCCUGGUGUAGCGGUGAAAUGCGUAGAGAUCAGGAGGAAUACCAGUGGCGAAGGCGGCUUUCUGGGCUGACCCUGACGCUGAGGUGCGAAAGCGUGGGUAGCAAACAG